RNAcentral lists this long non-coding RNA (379 nucleotides) under Mus pahari (shrew mouse). RNAcentral's name for it is "lncRNA (MGP_PahariEiJ_G0002358.1)". Lineage: Eukaryota; Metazoa; Chordata; Mammalia; Rodentia; Muridae. The record is from RNAcentral.
GCACAGGGCGGCAGAGUGACAAAGCCUCGGCUGCCUCCACCCGAAGUGGGAGUGGGAGUGGGAGUCCCUCUUACCAGCCCUCAGCUAGGGGGAGCGUAAAAGUUUGUCUCUGCUCAAGCGUUCCGAACGCCCCAAGGUAAAGGUGGAAGUAAAAGGCCAAGCUGUAUUGAAAAGAGGUGACCUUGGAAUGGUGUAGCCGAGUGCUGCAGAUUGUUUCAAUCGUUCUGCCGAAUACUCCUCAUUUGUGCCUGAGAGGAACUCAAGACUUUAUGUAUGGCCAUUGCUGGGAUCCAGUGUGAUGCUCUACUUUUCCACUGAACUCUACUAUAUUUAAGCUGUUGUUGAGGAAGGAGCUUUGGCAAUAGAAGUAACCAAGUAG